Molecule: long non-coding RNA, 619 nt
Filed under: Prunus persica (peach)
Lineage: Eukaryota; Viridiplantae; Streptophyta; Magnoliopsida; Rosales; Rosaceae
Description: long non-coding RNA (PPER_LNC003484)
Source: RNAcentral
ACGUCAUUUGUUUCUGCCUGCCUCUAUCAACUCUCUUUUCUAAGUCAGAGAAAAACAAUCACGUGGGUCUGUUUCCUUUUGGGUUUCUACUUUUUACUUUGAUCAUGCCAAGCCCAAUUUAGUUUCUUCGAAGCCCAAGCUUGAGAUAGGUUAUGGACCGGGCUUUUAUUGGAUUUUGGACCUUUGGUUCAUGUUUAUUUUUAGAGUCCAGACUUCUCGGGCCCAACGUUGUUGUCUUUGUUAUUCUGGGCUCUGUAGCGUUUCGGCUGGGUGCGCAAGAUACAAUGCCCCCUUGAAUCUGGAUUGUUUGGCCUCGAUUUUUAACGAUUCAGAUUCAAUAAAUUUGGCCAUUAAUGUUGCACGCCACUUUCUUCCGUUUCUGCUAACCCACGUCUGCCACGUUUUGUCUGUUGAGCUAGAGUUCGUGGGAAACUGGGUAAUUAAUAGCUAGUUACUAGCUAGUCAUCAUUACGUGUCCCAUCGUCUUCUUCAUCUUCGGUUUCGAGCCUUUUAAAAGAAUUUCAAACUCAAAGUUCCUGUUUUACUUUGAAACCUAGUUUUUCCUCAGACCUCGACUUUCUCAGUUUUCCCAGAAUUUCCCAGAAUUUUUCAUUCUUCU